AAGCCAAGAAACUGCCUAAGGCCG
Molecule: non-coding RNA, 24 nt
Filed under: Gossypium hirsutum (cotton)
Lineage: Eukaryota; Viridiplantae; Streptophyta; Magnoliopsida; Malvales; Malvaceae
Source: RNAcentral